CGGUGCGCCUUAUGCAUGCAAGUCGAGCGAAGCUUUUCAGUAGUUUACUACAGAAAAUGACUGAGCGGCGAACGGGUGAGUAACGCGUGAGCAAUCUACCUUAGUUACAGGGAUAGCCCGAGGAAACUCGGAUUAAUACCUGAUAUUCUUUAAAUUUCGCAUGAAAUUAAAAGGAAAGGUCAGCCGAACUAAGAUGAGCUCGCGUUCUAUCAGCUAGUUGGUGAGGUAAAAGCUCACCAAGGCUACGACGGAUAGCUGGUCUGAGAGGACGAUCAGCCACACUGGGACUGAGACACGGCCCAGACUCCUACGGGAGGCUGCAGCAGGGAAUAUUGUGCAAUGAACGAAAGUUUGACACAGCGACACCGCGUGUGGGAUGACGGAUCUAGGUUUGUAAACCACUUUCAGGAGGGAAGAAAAUGACGGUACCUCCACAAGAAGCCCCGGC
RNAcentral lists this ribosomal RNA (448 nucleotides) under uncultured bacterium. RNAcentral's name for it is "bacterial SSU rRNA". It matches the Rfam family "Bacterial small subunit ribosomal RNA", at positions 40 to 497 of the family's 1533-position model. The record is from RNAcentral.